UAAAAGAUAAGCUAAAUAAAGCUUAUGGGCUCAUACCCCAUCUAUGAGACUAACGUUCUCUCUUUUAA
This 68-nucleotide transfer RNA is filed under the name Paralithodes brevipes. RNAcentral describes it as "tRNA-Met". The record is from RNAcentral. Lineage: Eukaryota; Metazoa; Arthropoda; Malacostraca; Decapoda; Lithodidae.